Non-coding RNA from Arachis ipaensis, 1105 nucleotides. The record is from RefSeq and is a predicted model, not a curated record. Lineage: Eukaryota; Viridiplantae; Streptophyta; Magnoliopsida; Fabales; Fabaceae.
GCUAUUGAGUUUAUAACUAUGAUUUUAUAUACAUAAUAAUUGUAAAAAAAUUAACCUAUCUUUUUUUUGGGUCUAUUAGCUUUUGAAGUCAAGGCUUUGAAGUGUAGAAACAUAUAGAUAUAGACUUUUUUUACUUAAGCUGUUGUGUAACACUGCUUAAGCUUUUGAAGUCAAUAGCAGAAUCCACUUUUGUUGUUCCAACUUAGUUGACACAUGCUUGCUUUGAUUAUUUAUUGGUAAGAGUAGUUAUUCUUGACUAAAAAUUAAUCCAUCCAAAUUUUGAAAAGGAAAAGUAAACUAGUUGGUUUAGAUUGUUAGAAAAAUAAAUUAAAUUUUGACUAAGUAUUUUAUUUAUUUAUUUAUAUAUUGUGUGCUACAAAAGAAUUUCAGGUUUUUAUGAUGGCUGAGUCAGGGGUGAAAAAAUUUAGCCCAAACAUCAAGAAGACUGGAAAAGGUGUGCUCCCUAAAAAUGAAAAAGGUCCAUAUUACUAAUGCUAAAAUAUGGAAUGCAUAGGAUCCAAGUAUCAAGGAACUGGCUGAACAGAUCAGCUUGAGGAGAGAAUGGCACGCAUAAAAGAAGAUCCAUCUUUGAAGCAUAUUUUAAAUGAGAUAGAGACUGGUGGUCCUACUGCUAUGAUGAGGUUUGGAUGGCAAAAUUUCUUAUCUUUUUGACCAUUUCAAAAUUUCUUUCAGUUCAAUGUUUUCCAAAUUUUAAAUAAUUUCUAAAGUGUUUCAGGUUGUUUGUGCAAUUUGUAACACUGAGCAGCCGAUAGGAAAACAACAGUUUCAUUGUGAUGAUUGUAGAAUCUGUAGGGUUGGUGGUCAAGAGAACUAUUUCCACUGCGAAAAGUGUGGGUCAUGAUAUUUACUUACACUACGUAAUAAUCAUUUGUGUGAAGAACUCUAUAGACAUGUGCAUUACUGAAGUUGCUGUUAUUACAAUUAUGUAAGUAUAUGAUAUUGAAAAAUUGAAGUUAUUUUAUUUUAUUUUUUUAAUAAAAAACAAGUAAUAGUUAUGAAGAACAAUAGCAUAUGUAAUUAUGUUUGGAAUUAUUGACAUUGAGAACUUUUAUAUAGAGAGAGUUAUCUUAUAUUGAGAAAUUAU